UCAAGCAUAAUAAGGGCAUUUGGUGGAUGCCUUGGCGUCAAGAGGCGAUGAAAGACGUGGCACUCUGCGAUAAGCUACGGUGAGCCGAGAGCAGGCUUUGACCCGUAGAUUUCUGAAUGGGGAAACCCCAUCCAUUAGGAUGAUCCUGUCGUGAAUACAUAGCGGCAGGAGGCGAACCCGGUGAACUGAAACAUCUCAGUAACCGGAGGAAAGGACAUCAACCGAGACUCUGCUAGUAGCGGCGAGCGAACGCGGACCAGGCCAGUGGCUUAUGCAUAAGAACCGGAAUGAUCUGGAAAGGUCAGCCAAAGUGGGUGAUAGCCCCGUACGGGUAGAAAUUGCAUAAGUCCUCGAGUAGGGCGGGACACGUGAAAUCCUGUCUGAACAUGGGGGGACCACCCUCCAAGCCUAAGUACUCCUUGACGACCGAUAGUGUACCAGUACCGUGAGGGAAAGGUGAAAAGCACCCCGAUAAGGGGAGUGAAAUAGUUCCUGAAACCGGAUGCCUACAAGCAGUUGGAGCCUCUUUAUGGGGUGACAGCGUACCUCUUGCAUAAUGGGUCAGCGAGUUAGUCUUACAAGCAAGCUUAAGCCGUUAGGUGUAGGCGCAGCGAAAGCGAGUCUUAAUAGGGCGAUUGAGUUUGUGGGAUUAGACCCGAAACCAGGUGAUCUAGCCAUGAGCAGGUUGAAGGUGAUGUAACAGUCACUGGAGGACCGAACCCACGUCUGUUGAAAAAGACGGGGAUGACUUGUGGUUAGGGGUGAAGGCCAAUCAAACCUGGAGAUAGCUGGUUCUCCGCGAAAUCUAUUUAGGUAGAGCGUCAGACGAAUACCAUCGGGGGUAGAGCACUGAAUGGGCUAGGGGGCCUUACCGGCUUACCAAACCUAAUCAAACUCCGAAUACCGAUGAGUACUAUCUGGCAGACAGACUACGGGUGCUAAGGUCCGUGGUCGAGAGGGAAACAGCCCAGACCGCCAGUUAAGGUCCCAAAGUUGUGGCUAAGUGGGAAAGGAUGUAGGACGGCCAAGACAACCAGGACGUUGGCUUAGAAGCAGCCAUCGUUUAAAGAAAGCGUAACAGCUCACUGGUCUAAAUAAGCUGUCCCGCGCCGAAGAUGUACCGGGGCUCAAGCCACACACCGAAACUGCGGAUUUGUUCUUUAUUGAACAAGUGGUAGCGGAGCGUUCCGUAAGCCUGUGAAGGUGUACCGUAAGGUAUGCUGGAGGUAUCGGAAGCGAGAAUGCUGACAUGAGUAGCGACAAAGGGAGUGAGAACCUCCCUCGCCGAAAGCCCAAGGGUUCCUGCGCAAGGCCAAUCCGCGCAGGGUGAGUCGGCCCCUAAGACGAGGCGGAAACGCGUAGUCGAUGGGAAACAGGUUAAUAUUCCUGUACCCGUGAGAAGUGACGGCCUCUGGAAGUAGUUUUUCCUUAUUGGAUUGGAGAAGCUGCCAAGGAGGUCCAGGAAAUAACUCUCACAUAUGGAUCGUACCCGAAACCGACACAGGUGGGCAGGUUGAAUAUACCAAGGCGCUUGAGAGAACGAUGUUGAAGGAACUCGGCAAAUUGCCCCCGUAACUUCGGGAGAAGGGGGCCCACCGUGAAGGCAACUUUACGGUGGGGGCACAGACCAGGGGGUGGCGACUGUUUACUAAAAACACAGGGCUCUGCGAAGUCGCAAGACGACGUAUAGGGUCUGACGCCUGCCCGGUGCCGGAAGGUUAAGAGGAGAUGUGCAAGCAUUGAAUUGAAGCCCCGGUAAACGGCGGCCGUAACUAUAACGGUCCUAAGGUAGCGAAAUUCCUUGUCGGGUAAGUUCCGACCUGCACGAAUGGCGUAACGACUUCCCCACUGUCUCCAACAUCGACUCAGCGAAAUUGAAUUCUCCGUGAAGAUGCGGAGUACCCGCGGUCAGACGGAAAGACCCCGUGCACCUUUACUACAGCUUUGCAGUGGUAUCAGGAUGUGAAUGUGCAGAAUAGGCGGGAGGCUAUGAACCCGAAGCGCCAGCUUCGGUGGAGCCACCUUUGAGAUACCGCCCUUUUGCUUCCUGAUAUCUAACCGAGGUCCGUUAUCCGGAUCCGGGACCCUGCAUGGCGGGUAGUUUGACUGGGGCGGUCGCCUCCCAAAGAGUAACGGAGGCGCGCGAUGGUAGGCUCAG
RNAcentral lists this ribosomal RNA (2158 nucleotides) under marine metagenome. RNAcentral describes it as "bacterial LSU rRNA". It matches the Rfam family "Bacterial large subunit ribosomal RNA", at positions 1 to 2325 of the family's 2925-position model. The record is from RNAcentral.